UACGAAGGGGGCUAGCGUUGCUCGGAAUCACUGGGCGUAAAGGGUGCGUAGGCGGGUCUUUAAGUCAGGGGUGAAAUCCUGGAGCUCAACUCCAGAACUGCCUUUGAUACUGAAGAUCUUGAGUUCGGGAGAGGUGAGUGGAACUGCGAGUGUAGAGGUGAAAUUCGUAGAUAUUCGCAAGAACACCAGUGGCGAAGGCGGCUCGCUGGCCCGAUACUGACGCUGAGGCACGAAAGCGUGGGGAGCAAACAGG
This 253-nucleotide ribosomal RNA is filed under the name uncultured bacterium. Its description in RNAcentral is "partial 16S ribosomal RNA". It matches the Rfam family "Bacterial small subunit ribosomal RNA", at positions 524 to 776 of the family's 1533-position model. The record is from RNAcentral.